This 72-nucleotide transfer RNA is filed under the name Camelus bactrianus (Bactrian camel). It matches the Rfam family "tRNA". Rfam says of the family: Transfer RNA (tRNA) molecules are approximately 80 nucleotides in length. Their secondary structure includes four short double-helical elements and three loops (D, anti-codon, and T loops). Further hydrogen bonds mediate the characteristic L-shaped molecular structure. tRNAs have two regions of fundamental functional importance: the anti-codon, which is responsible for specific mRNA codon recognition, and the 3' end, to which the tRNAs corresponding amino acid is attached (by aminoacyl-tRNA synthetases). tRNAs cope with the degeneracy of the genetic code in two manners: having more than one tRNA (with a specific anti-codon) for a particular amino acid; and 'wobble' base-pairing, i.e. permitting non-standard base-pairing at the 3rd anti-codon position. Lineage: Eukaryota; Metazoa; Chordata; Mammalia; Artiodactyla; Camelidae. RNAcentral also lists the same sequence under 1 other name. The record is from Rfam by way of RNAcentral.
GAGAGUAUAGCUCAGUGGUAGAGCGCACGCCUAGCAUGCUCGAGGCCCUGGGUUCAGUCCCCAGUACUGCUG